AAAAAAAAAAAAUAACAACAAAAAAGACACAAAAUAACAUCAAUACAAAGCAUUUUUUCUGAUAAAAAUAAUAAAUAUGCAUUUGUCAGAGUAGAUUGUGGAAUUUAGAAUUGCAAUGUGAAUAAUUUGUUUGAGGUUACCGAUUCUGAGGUAUUUUCCUGUAGAGAAAACAGCAUACUAUGUGGUUUGAGGGCAUUUUUUCCAAAUAAUGAUGAAUAUAACCCAAAAAGAGAUAUUUUAAAAGCACAUAAAAAUGAGAAAUUCCAAAGCCCAAUAAAUUUCUACAUGGCCAUCUUCUUCCAUAUCUAUAAAAGAGGAAAAUGUUGGUAGUUUGUUUGCUUGUAAUUUAUAGACUCAAAAAUCUCUGAACAGAUUUUCUUUAAAAUUUCCAUAUAUAUUAUAGCAUCGCCUGAAAGUAACAUAGGCUAUAUACCUUUUUAUAAUGCCACUUGAAACUGGAGAUAAAUCAUCAGAAUCGGAGGAACCUCCAACAAUUUUAAAUGUAGUUUGCAAAUAUCUAUCGAUCGGUUAUAGAUGCAGUUUUUAAAUAUGAAAUUUGUAAUGAGAUUUGGUACAAAAAUAAUUUUACAAAAUUAUAUUGAAAAAGAUUUGGAUAUUGCUCCCAUAUAUUUUCCGGCCGAUUUCAUGUAUUUGUUGAACCAAUCAUGCCCAAAAAAUUGUCUUAAGGCGUUAAAUCGCACGAAAUAGGCGGCCAAGUGACCAGUCCCGAACGUGAAAUAAAAGUUGUCUCAACUAGAACGCAAUUUUUAAUUUGGGUGUCAUACGAAGAGUCAUUGUUUGACAUUUGAACAAUUAUUAUUGUUUGUUCGCGGAAGCAUAGCUGAGUGCUACCGGACGCGUCCACGGUUUGCGGAUAGUGGGACGCCCGGUAGAUAUAUCGGGCAGCUGCGAAUCAAAUAAGCAGUCGCGGACAGCUCAGCGGUUUCUAGGGGGAGAGUCUCGGACUAAAUACCCGAGUGCCUGUGAUCCCUGGACUCGACGAGGCGGCACUGGCGCCCCUAAACUAUCCAGUCAACGGCCUGGUCCACCGCAAAGGACCCCCUAAUGCUGGGGUGUUACGUAAACCGUGAACAUCAGUAUUCCAAGGUUUGCAGUCAGGGUACCGACUGUAUUAGAACGGUUGCCUCGUCGAUACCUGGGCGCCUCGACGAGUAAUAGGCUUAGCUGCCAAGUCCUUACCAUGAUAUGGAGGCUAUGUCAUGGCGGACAUCGUCACCUCCAAUGUCCCGAUAACUUAUGGAGAACAAAACUAAACAAAAAACAACAACAAAAACAAAAACAUUAACCGACAAUUAUUCAACCACCUCUUCGGAGGUGUCGACCCAGGACAUGGCCAUGGACAAGAUUUUAACUUCGGGCGGGGACGUGACUCUGGAAACGUACAGAGACGUAGUAUGUGAAAGCAUACAGCGACAGAGUGAACAGCUGUCCGCCCUUCUAGAGAAGACCACUCUAAGGCUCAGCCAAGAGAGUGUGCCCUCCGGCUUUGGGAAUGACUCACCCCUCUCUGAUGAGGAACUUGACGUCACCGUCAUACCCUCAUCUUUGAGGAGUGAGUCAGCUUCAAAAACUGUAGAGAGCACUCAAUCUGCUGCCAAGGGGGGGUCAACUCCUGUGGAAGGGGUUACAUCGGUACCUACCGAUGCGACCAACCUCCGGAUCGAGGAUGGCGUCGUGGAAAGGGAUACUGAUGUUCCAACCAACCGCGAUGCCUCCGGAUCGAAGGAGGUAAAAAUAAGGAAGGGUUACAAACGGUCGGUGAGGUACUGUAAGAGCUUCAUCGGUCGCGAACCCUUACAAAUUACAGAGAGGGAAAAAGCCCUGAUUAGGGUGAACAUGAAGGCAAUAAGGAAGUUCGAGAAGAACCAUCCGGAAGUGCCUAAAUGUACACUCGAAAAGGACCUUGCCUCUCUCUUUACAGCCCCCGCUAAUAAGGUAAGUCCGUCUGAGGAUAAGCCAACUAGUGGGGCUGGGGUGAAGGACAACACCUCUCCCGGUGGUGGAAAGACAGCUUCGGCUGUUGCACCACCAACGGAAUCUAGUGUAGCCCCCACCACUUCUAACUCAGGAAAACGGAGGAACAAAAGGAAGGACGCCCCUAACGGAAAUUCUGCCCGGUGGAACCAAAGGAGGCCAAAUCCUCUUCUCGGGUAACGAUGAAGAGAGGACGGUCAACGGAGGAACCACAUCCCGAGGCAAAGAAACCGUUAACGGGCAAACUUCCUCCUCCGCCAACUGCGGCUUCUACGCCAGUAGCUGUAGCUGGUAGGGAGGUAGUGGCAAGGCCGGUGCAAGCAGCCUCAGUGGACCCUAGGUCUGCUAAGGCGAAGCCUGCUACCACCAACCCACAACCUUCAAGCCAGACAUCAAGGAAGAGGAAACACUCCCAAACCCUGUACCCGGACAAUCUCCGUGUAGCGGUCAUCGACCGAGCUGAGCCGGAAGGCAAAAUCAGCGAAAGUCGGUGGCUUCUCAUUGAGGACCCUCUGAGGGAACAGGUUUUCCUGGGGGAGGAUCCUUCUAGGUUACAGUUUGGCAGUGCUACCGUCUACAAGGGAGUGAAGGUCAUCUGCUGCGAAAAUGAGGAGUCAAAGAACUUCCUCGUGACCGCAGUAGCUGGCCUUCAGGAACUUUGGGAUGGAAGUGCACUUGCUGCUGUAUCCCUGAAGGAUAUCCUCUGCAGGAGGAUUUUGACAGCAUGGGUGCCGCCGCCCUCUGUGGACCCGGCACGCGUGCUGAUAAUAUUGGGGAAGCAGAAUCCCAAUCUCUGCACGGACGGCUGGCGCUUGGUUGGCUCAAGUACGGAGGGAGGGGGCCUGGUCAUAAAGGUUUCUGUUGAUACUGCUGGCCAGGAAUACCUUCAGGCUCGUGGAGGAAAAUUGCACUUCGGCACAGGAUGGAUUCGGUUCCGUCUAACGCCGCUGUCGCAGUAGGAGAAACGAAGCCACAGCUGCUUAGCAUUGUGCAGAUUAACCUGCAUCACUGCAAGGCAGCUGGGGCUGAGCUUCUCCUAUCCCUCUCCAAGCUUGAAGUUGACAUAGCCCUGGUCCAGGAACCUUACAUUUUUAAGAAUAAGGUAACUGGGCUAGGGAGUGAGCGGUACAUCACCUAUGCCACCUCCAAUGGGGAAAAGGUUAGAACGUGUAUCGUCGCUAAGAAAAACUUAAACUUAAUCUUCCUCAACAAUUUCAGCGGAGGAGACGCCACGGCGGUCAGAUUGGAGACUAGGACGGGCAAAACACUAUUCCUCGUCUCCCUGUACCUUCCCUUCGAGCACCCCGACCCACCAGGCCAAGUGGUAGAGGAGCUGGCCUCAGUACUGGGUGGAAAAGGCGGCCUCAUCAUUGGAUGUGAUGCAAACGCUCACCACUCUCAAUGGGGCAGUAGUAACACCAAUGCCAGAGACUAGGAUGAUCACAAUGGGCCAGUAGGUCUCCGAGUGGAGUGGUUGUUGUUUUUACACAGCCACACAUCCUUUAACCUAACCUAACCU
RNA transcript from Musca domestica (house fly), 3514 nucleotides. RefSeq lists it as uncharacterized. The transcript is spliced from 2 exons. Lineage: Eukaryota; Metazoa; Arthropoda; Insecta; Diptera; Muscidae. The record is from RefSeq and is a predicted model, not a curated record.